Molecule: non-coding RNA, 29 nt
Filed under: Rattus norvegicus (Norway rat)
Lineage: Eukaryota; Metazoa; Chordata; Mammalia; Rodentia; Muridae
Source: RNAcentral
UGCCAAGAAUGGACAUCAGCAUCUGUAGA